AGCAGCCGCGGUAAUUCCAGCUCCAAUAGCGUAUAUUAAAGUUGUUGCAGUUAAAAGCUCGUAGUUGAAUUUCGGGAUCAAUAUGUUGGUCGUGCCUCGGUACGUACUAGCAUAUUGGUUUCUCCUUUCUGAAGAACCAUGAUGUCAUUUAUUUGGUGUCGUGGGGAAUCAGGACUGUUACUUUGAAAAAUUAGAGUGUUUAAAGCAGGCUCACGCUUGAAUACAUUAGCAUGGAAUAAUGAAAUAGGACGUUUGAUUCUAUUUUGUUGGUUUCUAGGAUCGACGUAAUGAUUAAUAGGGAUAGUUGGGGGCAUUAGUAUUCAAUUGUCAGAGGUGAAAUUCUUGGAUUUAUUGAAGACUAACUACUGCGAAAGCAUUUGCCAAGGAUGUUUUCAUU
Molecule: ribosomal RNA, 397 nt
Filed under: uncultured Glomeromycotina
Lineage: Eukaryota; Fungi; Glomeromycota
Description: SSU rRNA
Rfam family: Eukaryotic small subunit ribosomal RNA
Source: RNAcentral